GGCGAGUAGCGCAGCUUGGUAGCGCAACUGGUUUGGGACCAGUGGGUCGGAGGUUCGAAU
RNAcentral lists this transfer RNA (60 nucleotides) under Salmonella enterica subsp. enterica serovar Urbana str. R8-2977. RNAcentral's name for it is "partial tRNA-Pro". It matches the Rfam family "tRNA", at positions 2 to 58 of the family's 71-position model. From Rfam's summary of the family: Transfer RNA (tRNA) molecules are approximately 80 nucleotides in length. Their secondary structure includes four short double-helical elements and three loops (D, anti-codon, and T loops). Lineage: Bacteria; Pseudomonadati; Pseudomonadota; Gammaproteobacteria; Enterobacterales; Enterobacteriaceae. RNAcentral also lists the same sequence under 1 other name. The record is from RNAcentral.